This is a long non-coding RNA of Gallus gallus (chicken), 564 nucleotides long. Lineage: Eukaryota; Metazoa; Chordata; Aves; Galliformes; Phasianidae. The record is from Ensembl.
AAAUCUGUAUGAGUGGAGUGGUCCAUUCAGUCUCUCAGAGAAAGAAUUUAUCAUACGUGUGGUCCAAAUAAAGAAUACAUUAAAGUUUAGUAUCUUCAAAAAGAAGAUCCAUACCUAAAUGCUGCAACCAGCUCUACCUACAAGGUAUUCUAUAUUCGUGGGACCCUGAAGACUGCUACCACACAUCAUUUUGUUUCUCUCUAUUAGGAGCACAUUGCAGAAUGCCUAUAUUCCCCAACGUACGUUCAGGGGCCAUGGAGGGGAUGGAUUAGCCCACUGUCAUAUAAUCUGUGGUGCUGCAUGGUUUCCUCUUCACUGGACCACUGAGAGACUCAACACUGCAAACUCAGUCUAAAACACUUUGGAAUAAAAUGUCCUAUCAUAAUUUCCUUUCUUGCGUUUUGUUUUUGGUGGUGCUUGGUUAGUUGUGUGCUGGUCUGUGGAACAGAAGUUUCAGGUAAAUAAUCAAUCUAUGUUAUCUAGCCCCCACAUCCAGCUGUGCAGGCUCCUCACCAGCCCUGACACACAUUGCCUGCAUUCCUUUCCUGAGCAGGAGCAAGAUCC